This 980-nucleotide ribosomal RNA is filed under the name uncultured Alteromonas sp. RNAcentral describes it as "bacterial SSU rRNA". It matches the Rfam family "Bacterial small subunit ribosomal RNA", at positions 56 to 1035 of the family's 1533-position model. Lineage: Bacteria; Pseudomonadati; Pseudomonadota; Gammaproteobacteria; Alteromonadales; Alteromonadaceae. The record is from RNAcentral.
UGCAAGUCGACGGUAACAUUUCUAGCUUGCUAGAAGAUGACGAGUGGCGGACGGGUGAGUAAUGCUUGGGAACUUGCCUUUGCGAGGGGGAUAACAGUUGGAAACGACUGCUAAUACCGCAUAAUGUCUUCGGACCAAACGGGGCUUCGGCUCCGGCGCAAAGAGAGGCCCAAGUGAGAUUAGCUAGUUGGUAAGGUAACGGCUUACCAAGGCGACGAUCUCUAGCUGUUCUGAGAGGAAGAUCAGCCACACUGGGACUGAGACACGGCCCAGCCUCCUACGGGAGGCAGCAGUGGGGAAUAUUGCACAAUGGGGGAAACCCUGAUGCAGCCAUGCCGCGUGUGUGAAGAAGGCCUUCGGGUUGUAAAGCACUUUCAGUUGUGAGGAAAAGUUAGUAGUUAAUACCUGCUAGCCGUGACGUUAACAACAGAAGAAGCACCGGCUAACUCCGUGCCAGCAGCCGCGGUAAUACGGAGGGUGCGAGCGUUAAUCGGAAUUACUGGGCGUAAAGCGCACGCAGGCGGUUUGUUAAGCUAGAUGUGAAAGCCCCGGGCUCAACCUGGGAUGGUCAUUUAGAACUGGCAGACUAGAGUCUUGGAGAGGGGAGUGGAAUUCCAGGUGUAGCGGUGAAAUGCGUAGAUAUCUGGAGGAACAUCAGUGGCGAAGGCGACUCCCUGGCCAAAGACUGACGCUCAUGUGCGAAAGUGUGGGUAGCGAACAGGAUUAGAUACCCUGGUAGUCCACACCGUAAACGCUGUCUACUAGCUGUGUGUGCCUUUAAGGCGUGCGUAGCGAAGCUAACGCGCUAAGUAGACCGCCUGGGGAGUACGGCCGCAAGGUUAAAACUCAAAUGAAUUGACGGGGGCCCGCACAAGCGGUGGAGCAUGUGGUUUAAUUCGAUGCAACGCGAAGAACUUACCUACACUUGACAUGCUGAGAAGUUACUAGAGAUAGUUUCGUGCCUUCGGGAACUCAGACAC